RNAcentral lists this long non-coding RNA (612 nucleotides) under Helianthus annuus (common sunflower). Its description in RNAcentral is "hypothetical non coding rna". The record is from RNAcentral. Lineage: Eukaryota; Viridiplantae; Streptophyta; Magnoliopsida; Asterales; Asteraceae.
GGUGACGACUUUUCCAUGUUUGUAACCAGAGACGAAGACCUCUUACAUUUGACCAACAACUCCUGUUGUCCCAUUACAAUUCUGAGCUGGACUCAAUCCAGAGCUCACAGGUGAAACCGAAAUAGAGUUAGCAGCUGCUGUUAUGGUGGGCCUAACAGGCCCAUUAAUUGGAGUUGUCCAGAAAGCAUUUAGAGAAGAUGGUGUGCUAUUUACAACCCCCGUGAAUGCAGGAAAUGCGGGACUCGAGGAAGACGUAUGAGUGGAUAGUGAAGUCGAGGGGUUUGUAAAGGGAUUAUGAUUCCAAGGUGAAAGUGACACUGAUGAUGCAGUAAAGCCUGCAGAGUUUGAAGGAGCAGAUGUGGCAGUGGUUGCAGAAGCUGAAAAUUGAAUCGGCGGUGAAGUGAAUGCAGGAAAUGCGGAAGACGUAUGAGUGGAUAGUGAAGUGAAGGGGUUUGUAAAGGGAUUAUGAUUCAAAGGUGAUGAUGCAGUAGAGGCUGCAGAGAUAAAGCCAGUUCCCGGAGCAAAAGGAUUACGAACAGUGGUAGAGGCUGCAGAGGUAAAUGGGUUGAAUGAGUUUGAAGGAGCAGAUGUAACAGUGGUUGCAGAAGGUGA